AUUGAACGCUGGCGGCAGGCCUAACACAUGCAAGUCGAACGAGUGGCGGACGGGUGAGUAAUGUCUGGGAAACUGCCUGAUGGAGGGGGAUAACUACUGGAAACGGUCGCUAAUACCGCAUACCAUCCGAUGGGCCCAGAUGGGCGGAGCUAGUUGGUGGGGUAACGGCGCACCAAGGCGACGAGCCCUAGCUGGUCUGAGAGGAUGACCAGCGACACUGGAACUGAGACGCGGUCCAGACGCCUACGAGAUGCAGCAGUGGGGAAUAUUGGACAAGGGGCGCAAGCCUGAUGCAGCCAUGCCGCGUGUAUGAAGAAGGCCUUCGGGUUGUAAAGUACUUUCAGCGGGGAGGCGUUACCCGCAGAAGAAGCACCGGCUAACUCCGUGCCAGCAGCCGCGGUAAUAC
Molecule: ribosomal RNA, 406 nt
Filed under: uncultured bacterium
Lineage: Bacteria
Description: partial 16S ribosomal RNA
Rfam family: Bacterial small subunit ribosomal RNA
Source: RNAcentral